RNAcentral lists this ribosomal RNA (492 nucleotides) under uncultured bacterium. RNAcentral's name for it is "partial 16S ribosomal RNA". It matches the Rfam family "Bacterial small subunit ribosomal RNA", at positions 29 to 507 of the family's 1533-position model. The record is from RNAcentral.
AGUGAACGCUGGCGGUAGGCCUAACACAUGCAGGUCGAACGGCAGCACAGUAAGAGCUUGCUCUUACGGGUGGCGAGUGGCGGACGGGUGAGGAAUACAUCGGAAUCUACUUUUUCGUGGGGGAUAACGUAGGGAAACUUACGCUAAUACCGCAUACGACCUACGGGUGAAAGCAGGGGAUCUUCGGACCUUGCGCGAUUGAAUGAGCCGAUGUCGGGUUAGCUAGUUGGCGGGGUAAAGGCCCACCAAGGCGACGAUCCGUAGCUGGUCUGAGAGGAUGAUCAGCCACACUGGAACUGAGACACGGUCCAGACUCCUACGGGAGGCAGCAGUGGGGAAUAUUGGACAAUGGGCGCAAGCCUGAUCCAGCCAUACCGCGUGGGUGAAGAAGGCCUUCGGGUUGUAAAGCCCUUUUGUUGGGAAAGAAAAGCAGCAGGUUAAUACCCCGCUGUUCUGACGGUACCCAAGGAAUAAGCACCGGCUAACUUCGUG